GUCCACGCCGUAAACGUUGGGUGCUGGUUGUCGCGGGUCUUGACCCCCGCGGUGACGAAACUAACGCAAUAAGCACCCCGCCUGGGGAGUACGGUCGCAAGACUAAAACUCAAAGGAAUUGACGGGGGCCCGCACAAGCGGUGGAGCAUGUGGUUCAAUUCGAAGCAACGCGAAGAACCUUACCUGGGCUUGACAUCUGGAGAAUCUCCCUGAAAGGGGAGAGUGCCUUCGGGAGCUCCAAGACAGGUGCUGCAUGGCUGUCGU
This 264-nucleotide ribosomal RNA is filed under the name uncultured bacterium. RNAcentral describes it as "partial 16S ribosomal RNA". It matches the Rfam family "Bacterial small subunit ribosomal RNA", at positions 793 to 1055 of the family's 1533-position model. The record is from RNAcentral.